UUUAAAUUGAGAGUUUGAUCCUGGCUCAGGAUGAACGCUGGCGGCGUGCUUAACACAUGCAAGUCGAGCGAUGAAGUUUCCUUCGGGAAAUGGAUUAGCGGCGGACGGGUGAGUAACACGUGGGUAACCUGCCUCAUAGAGUGGAAUAGCCUUCCGAAAGGAAGAUUAAUACCGCAUAAUGUUGAAAGAUGGCAUCAUCAUUUAACCAAAGGAGCAAUCCGCUAUGAGAUGGACCCGCGGCGCAUUAGCUAGUUGGUGGGGUAACGGCCUACCAAGGCGACGAUGCGUAGCCGACCUGAGAGGGUGAUCGGCCACAUUGGGACUGAGACACGGCCCAGACUCUUACGGGAGGCAGCAGUGGGGAAUAUUGCACAAUGGGGGAAACCCUGAUGCAGCAACGCCGCGUGAGUGAUGAAGGUUUUCGGAUCGUAAAGCUCUGUCUUUGGGGAAGAUAAUGACGGUACCCAAGGAGGAAGCCACGGCUAACUACGUGCCAGCAGCCGCGGUAAUACGUAGGUGGCGAGCGUUAUCCGGAUUUACUGGGCGUAAAGGGAGCGUAGGCGGAUGAUUAAGUGGGAUGUGAAAUACCCGGGCUCAACUUGGGUGCUGCAUUCCAAACUGG
RNAcentral lists this ribosomal RNA (622 nucleotides) under Clostridium perfringens. RNAcentral's name for it is "bacterial SSU rRNA". It matches the Rfam family "Bacterial small subunit ribosomal RNA", at positions 1 to 636 of the family's 1533-position model. The record is from RNAcentral. Lineage: Bacteria; Bacillati; Bacillota; Clostridia; Eubacteriales; Clostridiaceae.